UACGAGCCACACAAACGUUAUUCGGAAUUACUGGGCUUAAAGGGUGCGUAGGCGGCGCGGAAAGUUGGGUGUGACAGCCCUCGGCUCCACCGAGGAAUUGCGCCCAAAACUACCGUGCUUGAGGAAGAUAGAGGUGAGCGGAACUCAGGGUGGAGCGGUGAAAUGCGUUGAUAUCCUGAGGAACACCGGUGGCGAAAGCGGCUCACUGGAUCUUUUCUGACGCUGAGGCACGAAAGCUAGGGUAGCGAACGGG
This 253-nucleotide ribosomal RNA is filed under the name uncultured bacterium. Its description in RNAcentral is "partial 16S ribosomal RNA". It matches the Rfam family "Bacterial small subunit ribosomal RNA", at positions 524 to 776 of the family's 1533-position model. The record is from RNAcentral.